Molecule: non-coding RNA, 333 nt
Organism: Vigna umbellata (rice bean)
Lineage: Eukaryota; Viridiplantae; Streptophyta; Magnoliopsida; Fabales; Fabaceae
Source: RefSeq, a predicted model, not a curated record
UUAGAGUACAUUUUUUUAGUUGGCUUAGUUCUCUUUUAUUAUACAGUUUGAUCAGAGACAGAAGUCUAUGGGCCUCCCUACUAGUGAUGAGCUCCAGAAACAGGAAAUCUUAAAGAAAUUUAUGAGCGAGCAUCCAGAGAUGGACUUCUCAAGGGCAAAAGUAUCAUAAAAUGGUGCUACAAUACCGCUGUGCUUCUAUGGUUUUUGGAAUGAUCUCGGAUACAGGGUUGUACUUUUGUUGUUGUAACAGUGGUACUAGUGUUUGGUGAUUUCUAUGGUUUUGAACAUCAUGAGUUUUAUGAUAAAAUGUUAUCUUUUAUUUGGCCUUCUGAA